RNAcentral lists this transfer RNA (73 nucleotides) under Amycolatopsis sp. CA-230715. Its description in RNAcentral is "tRNA-Glu". It matches the Rfam family "tRNA". From Rfam's summary of the family: Transfer RNA (tRNA) molecules are approximately 80 nucleotides in length. Their secondary structure includes four short double-helical elements and three loops (D, anti-codon, and T loops). The record is from RNAcentral. Lineage: Bacteria; Bacillati; Actinomycetota; Actinomycetes; Pseudonocardiales; Pseudonocardiaceae.
GGCGCGUCGGUCCAGCGGUACGGACACCGGGUUCUCGGCCCGGAGGCGCGGGUUCGAUCCCCGCACGCGUUGC